Molecule: long non-coding RNA, 2603 nt
Organism: Megalobrama amblycephala (Wuchang bream)
Lineage: Eukaryota; Metazoa; Chordata; Actinopteri; Cypriniformes; Xenocyprididae
Exons: 4
Source: RefSeq, a predicted model, not a curated record
UGAGUUUUAUUAAAUGUUUUUCAAGACCAUGUCACGACACUUUAUUUAGAAAAGACUCUAAAAUGUUAACUGAUGUUUAUUGUCGUCAUCUAAGCAUCUAUUCAAGUGUAUUGUCUAUAUUGUGUUUGUGGUGCUAACUGCCCCAUUCAGUUUCAGUCUCCCCUGAACACAUUCACACCUCUCCGGCCUGCUCAUGGCUCUAAUUAUUCUUUUCUUUUGUCUAUACAAUUACUGAUGUUCUAUUCAAGAUGAUUUAAUCCCUCAUUUCUUUCAGAAAACUUCUCACUUCACCUUCUUUGAAACUGUAUCUAAUGCCCUUCUUGAAAAAAUAAAUAAAUAAAUAAAUCAGUGAGCUGUACAAUUCAAAAUUAUUUAUUUGCAUUAGCUCAGAACAGGUGCAUCUCUGGGCUCGUUACCGUGUUAGCUUAGCACACCAACAAAACACGACAAUGUAUAAGAUUAAAACCACGUUUUUGUUACAAACGUAUAAGUCGAGUGUUUUACAUAACCUUCUGUGAUGUGAUGUGGCUUCGGAUCAAAUAUCAGACAGAAAAUAUAUUAUUUUAGGCUAUUCUGCACAAUGAGAAAAGCUAUCUCGAUUAGCAUUGCAUUAUUAAUAUAAUCUACUAUUAUAAAUACCUGACAUGGCGCGAAGGACACAGAUAAACCACAUAUCGUCACAAUCGUGUAUUUAUUACUUCCAAAAGUGUCGAUUUGCACACAAUAUAGAUGAUUAUAGUAUAGGAUUAUAUAGCAUAGCAUAGCGAUGGAAGACUGUUAGUUCCUGGGAGGUCACAUCCCAGAUAGCAUGUAGUAAUCGGCCCGAAAAGAAAGAACAUUCUCUAAUAUGUAUAAUAUCAAAUCUAUUUAUAAGUAAUGUAGCAAUUAAUUAUUUUAUACGCUUUCAUGUAUUUUAAACGCAUUUCACUUGGACGUGAUCAAAACAAUGGAUUAUUUACCAAGAGAUAUUAAUGUUUGAGGUCAUUUCGACAACAUUCUGGUAAGCAUCGACGCACAUUUACAUUUGUAGUAUGUCUACUUAGCAGACGCUUAUAAAGGAAUUUUCUAAAGUUAACUUCACGUGACUGCCGCAAACGCGCGGCUUUCUUGCCUUGUCUGAAAACGUUCAAUAUGCCACUACAGCUAAUAAACGGACAAAAUCUUUUUCAUCUUUGAUCUAAGCAUUGUUAUGUGGAUCUCGGGUGUUUACGCUGCACUAAACUUUGACGAGCAACAAUUCAAUCUGCAAACAAAGAGCUGAGGAAGAGGAUGAUGACGGGCCUGCAUUCACGAGGAGAAAGAUCAGGUUUGUCUGUUUGUUUUUAGUUUCCACGCUCAUAUAUUUAUAUAAAUGCAACUAUAAUAAGCAAAAGUUGUUUUAUUCCAUGUUUCUUCAAGAAGGUGAGUGAAGAGGAUUUGUUUAUACUGUCAUAGAAGAUCAUUGUUUUCAAAUAACCUCAAUUAACUAAAUACAUACGCUAGUUACAUAAGCUAGUUUCACUGAUUUUUUUUUUGUUAUGAUGAGAAUGUGCUGCAAUACUAUGCAUUAGUAUGUCUGAGAUCAUUUUCAGAUGCUAAAUGUAAGCAAAAUUUACUUUUACAGAUGCUUAUGAUUGCUAAAUCAUAGACAACACAAACACAAUCACAGCUUUUGUUGCUACUAGCUGCUUCUUCACUCAGCAUGUUAAGACGCACAUGAAUUAAUGAUUAUUUCUCAUGCCAUAAAUUGCUUUUAAUAUUUCUGUUUUGUAGUAAUCAAGAGAAGUGUUAUCAUCGCUGAAGAAAUGGCAGAUUUUAAUCCUCAGACACCAAGCAGUGCAAGCCCUGAAGAAAUAACACCAUGGACAUCAUCUUCUCUGACUGAACUAGCAAGGAGCUGUUGGAGCCAAUGAGAAAGCUGGUAAGUUCAAGUAAAGUUUGGCACAUUCAGUUAGACCAUGUAACCUUUAUUAAUAGAUACUUGUAUACUAUUUGCUCUUUACAGGUGGAAUGUAAACCUGAGUAAACGGCGCUACUUUAAUGAUAAUUUCUAAGUUUACUGAGCGAUGUAAACUGCUGUCAUCCACGUCACAUCAUUGCUCUAACCGACGUUACCUGAAGAAUCCUUUCAGCGUAGCAGAUAUUCACAAGCGUCUGGAGCGAACUUAAAAUGCCGAACUGGAUGCUUACUGAAGAGUGAGCUUCAACACUUAAGGUUUGUGCAAAGUUACACCAUAUCACUGAAAACAGCACGCAUCAACAAGAUUUUAAAUGUUUAUGAUCUUCAGGUGAGUUAAAAUUUGUCAACACUUACUACCUCCAUCACUGUCUUCACUGUAUAUACAAUAAAGUUGGCUUGCUUGUUUAACAUGUUAAUGUUUGCUUGACUUUGAAGGGUGAUCAUGAUGUCAACAUGAAAUGCACCGUAGCCCUCUGUGCUCUUCAGUGUACCUGUGAGGAGGACCCACAGUUCUUCAAGACUUGAAAUGAGGCGUUGGGAGAGCCAGACAUCACUGAUUCUGUCAUUGUGGUCAAUGAAACGAAAGCACAAGUCCUUCAAGCACUGCAGUUGUUAAAGAAGAUGAUCUUCAGUUUUAUAAUAAAAGACUAAUCUUCAAAAAAAA